UCGGACGUGGUGCACGGUGCACCGCUGCACUCUAUUCGCGACUUGUUUGAAAAACUGUUGAAGCAGCUGCCGGGGUUCGACUCCCCGCGUCCGCA
Mycena leptocephala is the source of this 95-nucleotide non-coding RNA. The record is from the annotation of a GenBank genome assembly. NCBI's taxonomy places the organism in Eukaryota, Fungi, Basidiomycota, Agaricomycetes, Agaricales, Mycenaceae.